Molecule: long non-coding RNA, 1588 nt
Organism: Symphalangus syndactylus (siamang)
Lineage: Eukaryota; Metazoa; Chordata; Mammalia; Primates; Hylobatidae
Source: RefSeq, a predicted model, not a curated record
CAGGAAAAGGGAAUUUCAUGGAAGCACACUGAAAGCAUGGGUUCUUUUCCUUUUGGGUUCCCACUUGGUGGGGUCUCCUUGCAGCUUUUGGAGAGCCCCUAGGUGACCAGGCAAAAUGACAGUUCCCUCCAGCUGGUCCUCAGAUGGGCACAUCUAUUAGCCUCUGCUCUUGUAAGAAGUUAGCUGCAGAACCCACGUGUGAAUCCUUGUAGAACUCUGGAGAAGAUCAAAUGGGAGCUUGGAUGUGGAAGCUCUUUGGAAACGAAGAAGUACUCUGCAAAUGAAAAGGCAUAAGAAUGUUUAUCACAGCGUGGCAUAUAUUGGAAGUUUAGUAAAUGAAGAUACAUCCAAUCUGACAUUCCAUUCACAACCACAAAGAGGUGGAAGAGUAAACUGUUCCUGUUUCUCCAUCUUGACAGGAAGCAGAAGUUCUCCUGAGCUGAUUUUUCUUCUUGCCUUAUACUGGGUUCUUUAACACCAGAACAAAAAUAAAUAAAUAAAAGAAUCUUCCAGAAAUUCACAAAGAGACUUCAGGUCAGGAAAGCCUGAACUCUCUCAUCCAACACCUGUUCAAGUCGGAGGAUGCUGAUUAAUUCAUGAUGGAAAGGUAUCAAUUUCACAGCCCAGACCUCUACAUUCUUGAAAUGCUCUUCUCAUGGGAGACAUUAAAUAAGCUUUGAAUUAACUAUCCCUUCUCUGAAACAAUCAGAUGAGAACAGCUUAACUGGCUAAGCAGAGAGUAAGCCAAAGACAUGGAAUGUACAGGAUGUACCACAAACAAUUCUGACAUAUGAUUUAAUCUAUGUGUGACUACAUUUUAAAUACAUUUGGGAAGGACUGAACAAUGACGUGGAGCCCAUCAAUAUUGGUACUGAAAAUGAGACAGACCUUGUAUUGAAGACAGCGUAACCCCCAAGAGGAAAGAAACUUGGAGCCCUGAAUCAGAGUAGAAGACAAGCUGAACACCAGCCUUGGACUGUUGUAUGAAUGAAAAACAAGUUUUGAGGCUCCUGUUCAUUCCAUUCCAACCUGGCUGUUCUCAAGGGCAUUAGAAGAAGCAAGAAAAGAAGAUAUGGUGACCAGUGGUUCACAGCAAUGCCCAGAGGAGUUAAAAUUGGUCUGAUGAAGAGUGUCUAGCCCUGCAGCGUUGGGAGGUAGGAAGAAGGAUGUUGCAGAAACUCAGCAGCCUGGGUGUCAAGGCACAUAAAUCAAGAAGGCCACUUUGGGGAGCAAAUCAAGAAACCAAGUUGACACCCAGAUAUGGAUAGUGAGUAAAGCUACUGUUAAGUGAAAUAUGCAGGACUUUGGGAUGUGGGUACCCAUCCCAAGCACACUUUUCAGCUAGGUUAAAUUUAGGCUUUAUAACGGGCAUCUGAGGCCUAUUAGUUUAUUCUAAAAUUAAAAUAUGAAGAGUGUCUAGUAUAUGCUAGGCAUCUUAUAAACUGUAUUAGGAUUGCUUUUAACUGCAAGUUAUGAGUCAAUUAAUGGUUAAAUAUAACAGACACUUUUGAAGUAAGGAGUCCAGUGUUGAUAUAGCACUCCAGAGAUGUCAUGAAAGAUCCAUGAGUUUCCAAUUUUUGUUAUACUG